This 191-nucleotide unclassified non-coding RNA is filed under the name fungal sp. RNAcentral describes it as "partial internal transcribed spacer region". The stretch from base 1 to 46 matches the Rfam family "Eukaryotic small subunit ribosomal RNA", at positions 1786 to 1831 of the family's 1831-position model. Lineage: Eukaryota; Fungi. The record is from RNAcentral.
AAGUCGUAACAAGGUUUCCGUAGGUGAACCUGCGGAAGGAUCAUUACCGAUUUUAGCGGACCUGGUUGCUUUUGACCAAGGUUUCGUGAAAUUUGUAUUUAAAACCCACGCUUUUUAUUAAAUAAUAAAAAUUAUUGUAUCAAUUAUGAUAAAAAAAAAGAUCACUUUCAACAACGGAUCUCUUGGCUCUC